GUUAGGAAAUAAAUUUUUGAAAUUAAAUAGAAAAAUAAAAUCCGUUAUCUUAAAAAGAAAAUAUAUUUUGAAAUUAAAUAGAUGAUAAUAUCUAAAAAAAGAUAUUUUAAAAUAAAAUAGAAAAAUAUCUUUUAUAGGAUUUUCACACCUGUAAUCUGUUAUAGAGAACUUACUUUUGAAAUUAAAUAGAAAAAUUUAUAUUUUAGAAUUUUCACAUCAGUAAUUUGUUAUAGAGAACUAACGUAUUCAUUGCUGUUUCUAUUUUUAUUCUUAUAUUUAAAUUUUUUCGUACGGAAAGAUUUUUAUUCUUAUAUUUAAAAUUUUUCGUACGGAAAGAAAAAAAUGGGCACUAAUUUUCCCGCCGAAAAAUGGGUCCGUCAACGGACCCAAAUUUGAAUAUACGUGCUUUUAUAUAUAGUAUAGAUGAUUUUUCGAGAAAGGUCUUUUGUCGAAAGAG
RNAcentral lists this long non-coding RNA (457 nucleotides) under Ananas comosus (pineapple). RNAcentral describes it as "long non-coding RNA (ACOM_LNC015573)". The record is from RNAcentral. Lineage: Eukaryota; Viridiplantae; Streptophyta; Magnoliopsida; Poales; Bromeliaceae.